CCCAGGACGUGAACCAUCCUCUCAGUUCCGCACAUCCCACCUGUUAAUCACUUGGUUAUCAAAUUGCUGAGGUAUCACAAUGCUUGUGUCCAAGCGACCCUUGUUUUACUUAAUAAUGGCCCCGGAGUGCAAGAGUAGUGAUGCUGGCAAUUCGGAUCUGCCAAGGAGAAGCCAUAAAGUGCUUCCUUUAAGUGAGAAGGUGAAAGUUUUCAACUUAAUAAAGAAAUAUAAACAUUGUAUGUUGACGAUGCUGAGAUCUAUGGUAAGAACAAAUCUUCUACCCAUGGCAUUGUGAAGGACAAAGAAAUUCAUGCUAGAUUUGCUCUCACACCUCAAACUGAAAAAACGAGUGAGUGAUAAGUGCUUAGUUAAGAUGGUAAAGGCAUGAAACGUGUACAAUAAGAUAUUUUGAGAGAGACCACGUUCACAUAGCUUUUAUUAAAGUUUUUUAAAAUUUUUAUUAUUGUUGCAAUUGUUCUCUUUUAUUAUUACUAGUUAUUGUUAAUCUUUUACUGUGCCGAAUUUAGAAAUUAAACUUUAUCAUAAGUAUGUAUGUAUAGGAAAAAACGUGGUAUGUACAGGGUUUGGUACUACCCAUGGUUUCAGGCAUUCUAAAAUUCUUCCGCCACUCAGUUUUCCUCUGGGCUUCAUUGAGACUGUGUUCUGCAGCAGUGAUCUUCAAACUUUCUAAUUAGAGAUCAUCUGAAAUAGUUUUGAAAAGCUAUCUACCCCAGUAGACAUCUUGAAGUUAACAUCUGAAGUUUCUUAUCAUAAGUUGAUUUGUACAGUUAUCAUUCGCAGUAUGUUACAAAUACUUAGACUUUCAAAGAAAAAUGUUUACCUGAAUCCAGUGAUGUUGGGAAGCUGGGCGAGGAUUCCCUGCAAAUUACCUGUGCUCACAUCUUUUCUAGUGUUUGGGUUUCUAGGUUUGAGAAUUUCUGGUUGUUAAGCAGGAAAAAUAAAAAAACCAAAACCAAAAUUUCACUAAGGAUCUUUAAAAAGGAUUCUUUUAUUUGUACCUAGAAUUUUCCCAGUAUGAACUUUGCACAGCUUCUCAGUGGGUACAUGUGAAGCUUUACAAACUUCAGAAAUGUCAGUGGCAUACAUUGCAGUCUACUGAAGAUAUGAAGUGUUCCAUCACAUUUGAGAUACUUUUUAAUGGAAUUAUGGUUUUAUGUAACACUAAGAGAAAAAACACUUCCAAAUAAACUAUGAUGUAAUGCUUUCAUAGCCAUGGAAUUUUAACUUUAUACUUAAUGAAAGAGCUCUUUUUGGCAGAUACAGACACAUAUUUUUACCAUAUAUCAUGAUACUGUAAUAGUUUGGGGAUACAGCCCAGUGACAUCUGCCUUUCAGCUGCCUCCUGGCUGACAGUGAUUGCAAAAUGCCACUGAUUGCAAGGCGUACUCUGAUUUCAGAGACGCGAAAAUGUGAAGAAAAUACGCAUGUUAGAAUCAGUUCAAUACGGUAAGUCGCUCAUCAAGACAAAAAGGAUCCUGAAGGCCAGAAAGCCAAACUCCAAGACAUCAACCGAGUGAAAACACCUUUUCUGUGUGUGGCUGUCUUUACAGAAAACAAAACGUGGCUCUUAUUAUAAGUUAUCUCGGAGCACUUAAAUAACAAGGGCAAGGUACAUUUCAUUUUAAUUGCUCUUUCAUGGUCUUCUUGGCCUUUUUCCUGGCUCAGAAGUGGCAGAGUUAGGGCAGGAUCUUGGUGCGUGGGACUAUGGCUGGGCCCAGGCGGGAUCCCUGCAGCUUGACGAUGUCUAGUAUCUCUGUUGUGAAAACCACUUAGCACCGUCUUGUGUGAGGCUGGGCCUUCAAUGGCGCUGUUUGUUCUUUGUAAGUGGGCUAACAGAGGCAGCCUUUCUCCUUGUCAUGGCUUAGCUUAGUUUUAACAUAUUCAGUGUAUCCUUUUUUUGACUGAAGGGCCUACGAGUGGGAGGAACGGAGAUUGAACUGCUUUCCUAGUUUUUCUUUGACAUAGUAUUCGAGAGGCUCAGCGAGAUGAAUAAAGACGCCGCAGGAAGUACAUUAUGUGGGGAAUCAAUGAAUGAAAACAAUCUAGAUUUGUCAUCCAGGAAUUGUGCAUCUCUGAUUCUAAUGACACUCAUGAUGAUAUAAGAGAUUUACAAGAGGAAUCAAAAUGAAAAGGUUUCAUGUAAUGAGAAGACUAAGAGAACCCAAACCUAAGACUUAAGGGUCUUUUGAGGGCUCAAAAGCUGGGCUCCUCGCUUGGUUUAAUAGGUUGCAAAAUUAAAUUACAAGCAUUGCCUUUUCUAAUGUUGUGCCCUGAAUUCUGUCAGUACUCAUGAAUCUAUAGUUGUCGAAGCACCUAACGGGCGUGGCAGUACUUGUGCUGAGUCCCCCAUUUAUUCACAGGAUCCAGGGCAUCUUCUGUCUCUUUAUUUUCUCAUCUGUGAAAUGGCAAUGACAUUACACCCACCUUCCUUAACCCCAGAUGAAGCUAAUCACUAGAAUCGGAUUGAAAUGCCCAUGGAGUUAUUGCCCUCCCCAGCAUGGAGUCUGGGCAGCCCCCAGAUCUGCCUGGGGUCCUGGGGAUCUGAGUUGGGCUCAGCAGUGAGGUUGUAGAGCAGAUAUCCCAGGGCAUCGGAGCUGGGAAAUCAGUGCCCCUGUAAUCUCAAGAGCUUGAUCAGUGCCUCUCACUGCUGCCCAAAGGGCUGGGUCAAGCUCCUGGAUGGAAGUCACUGCUGUGUAGACAGGGCUAGAGGGCUGAGAAGAGAGGAGAAGGGAGUGCAGCCCGGAAACAUUCUCUGGGCACCUGGCAUGUAGUUCCAGUGGCCUUUUCUAGGGCCCGGGUGCUACAUCCCAAGUUGGAGAGGGCAUGGCCACGGGUGCCGGGACCUUGAGACUGCCACGGGAGCUUUCUGAUUGCCAAGAAAACGGAAUUGUGUUCAGAGUUGCCAUGAUCUGAGUAAGAAAAGGAGCCUUCUGUCUCCAUUGUGUGAAGGAGCUCAUUUUCCUGGAUGUAAAGGGGAAAAUGGCAUAAUACAGACCUUGAGGAAACCAGGAAAUACCAUAUGGAUAUACAUGGCCAAAUACUAUGGCUUUUAAGUAUGGAGGAUGCCUGUCAGUGACUUCGUGGUACCGCCCUGAGAGUCUUAUUUAAACAACUAUAGGCUUUUGCUCUAAUGCAAAGGAGGGAGGGAAAGGAGCACUUCAAAUGAGGUCACAGAAAAUGUCAUUUGAAAUAUCUUGGCAAUGUCCUCUGUUGCUGAUGGCGUACGGUGAUCGACAUUUUGCCUUAUUUCGCAUACCGGAGAGAGCCGAAGAUUUCGUUUCUUGUGUGUGGCAAAAGCUUUGUAGGAAUGCAUGUCCAAGAGAAGGCUGUUUAUUCCCCGCCUAAGAUGAUACAGCGUGUUUGGUUUCAUGUCUCUACUGGGAAAUGGAAGGGUUAACGUGUUGUGCACGGGAUGAAUUGGCCAGGAUAUAUUUGCAGUAUUUUGAUAUUUUUGCACUGGAGUUUGCAGUCUAGGUUCAGUCUGCAGCAAAGGCUGUGCAUCGGGUAAACCAGUGGCAAACAGCCAAUGUCUGGGCUAUGACUGGUCCAGAUCUGAGACUCCCAGCUGCCCAGCAACUUGGCUUGGGGAGGUUGCGUGACAGCCUGAAUCAGGACUGGAGACAGGGGAUAAGGAUGAUGAUUGGUCAACUGCAUCUGUGCUGAAGAGCUUGCCACUGAGCACAUGUGUUUUGAGAGGCUUUCAUCACAAGCAAGCCUGAGAGGGAAGUUGGCUGUUGCACGCGGAGGUCUGGGUACAGGCAUAAAGACGCCUGUAUGUGAGAGGAUGAGGAGCAGGGAGGGUGUGGGGGGGGUUUUGUGAACUAGAGGGAAGCGGGUUAUCUGUUCAGGUGCUUGUACCUGACUUCAGUCAAUCCCCACUCAGGUUGGAAUUGGAGCUUUUUGAGCUAAUGGUGACACUGCCUGAAAUUCUGAAUGUGUGUUGCCACAUCGCCCAAGAGAGGCCACACAUGUUGGCCAAGGCGGGUUGGGAACUCUGCAACGACCUCAUUUAUAAUAUUGGAAACUUUACAGCACUUCUCUUACGACUCAAGUUGAAACUGAGGACUGGAGAAAGGAGGAUGAUAAUAUAGUCACAGAGGUGCAAGGACCCUACGAGGACAUUUGGUGUAAUCUCUGUACCUCAAUUGUGAAAUCGCUGAUAAAUGGUUUCUCCUAUUUCUGCUUGAACGUCUCUAGGAAUGGGGAACUCGGUGGUUGCUGAGGCAGCCCAUUCCGUCUGUGGACAUCUUCCUCAGCGCUGCCUCCUGACUGGACUGAAAUCUGCCUCCCUGGGAGGCGCAUUCUGACCUCUGGGGCGAGUUGCCUUCUAGUGACACAUGGCCCUUUUGAUCAUUGAAGACAUUUAACUCUUCUCUUGCCCUAGCUUAGGCUCUGUCAUUCCGCACUUGAUGAUUUGGCCUGUGUUACCCUUGUUUCCCUCCUCUUGACCAUCCAGGUCGCCAGGGUCCCAAAGUCUUGGACAGUAUUCCUGGUGUAGGUGGAUCAUUUGUUCCUUAAUCAGAACACCGUUCCUUCGUUGACCACAUUUGACAUUUAUGGUCAGGUUGCACUGUGGACUCAUCCAGAGUUUCCAGACAGUCUAAAUGCAGCCGGAAGAUGCCCUAAACCUGCCUCACUAAGUACAACAGGGAUAGCCAAGGCUUCUGACCAAAAGUCUUUCCCUCACUGAAAAUUACGUCAUAAUGGCACAGGGAAAGAUGAAGUGGGGGGAAGACAGUUGUCUCUUGUUGAGAGCUGUAGUAUUUCUUCUCAAUGUUGUUUAUCUAAAUACCGUUUCAUAUGGACUCUGGAAGCCUGAGAAAAUUAUGGAAAAGUGAACCUUAAAUGAUAUUGAGGAAUUGUAUUCAUCACAUGUAUUACACACAGUCAAGUGGGAGUGAACUUGAAACUUCCUCUCUCUCUUUCUGCCCCCCCCCCCCCCCCCCCGCCAAGUCUCAGGAAGGAACAAGACUACCUGCAAGUCGAGGAAAAGAGGAUUUGGUCACUUCAAAUAGAACAACUGAUUUUUUUUCUUCCUUUAGAUUUUAGCUAAAUAAUUUUAACUACAUGGGCUGAAAACUGUGAUAUAUUCCAUGUAGAAGGAACUGAAUAAUAAUCCACAGUAGAAUGUGAAGAAGAUGUGUUGUGGUGGAUUCAUGCUUCCUAUAAUUGAAUGAGAGCCGGAUCUAGUGUGAUAUUACUUUUAUGAGAAUGUUCACAUUCCUCCUGGGUUUAACCAGCACACAUCGCAAUGAUUUCUCACUCAAAAUUACGUAAUUAACUCUCCAUGCAAGGGUUAAACUCAAAAUUAUGAAAAGAAGGGUGAUCGCUAUGGCGUAUGGUGUAUUUAUGGAGAUAAUAGAACAGACUGUUUGGUAUUGGGAAUGUUCUGGAAAGAAGAGCCAUGUGGGUGAAGACUUUGCUCACAUUGUAUCAUGUUUAUGAUUAAGUAUUCUGAUGGCUCCUUCCCUUAGCAUUUACUAUAGGUACUGCUCUUUCUGCUUCUCUUCUCGGUGCUGGAAUUCCUACAGUUUCAAACCUGGUUCCCUGUCUUUGCCCUACCUUUAAUGUUCUGCAGAAAGUAGCAUGUAAGCUUCAGAUGCAACACUGAACUCAUUUAAAAAAGGAAAGAUAAAUACAUUUUCCUUGCAUUUCCAAAGAUGUCCACUAUAAGUGCAUGGGGUGGUGGUUUUUUUAGUAGGAAAAAGAAUAAAUGCAAUAAAAAGGGUUAUUUAGAUAAAGGAUGGGAUGAGCUGGGUUUGGUGAUUUUUCACAGUUUGGAACACUGGACCAGUGAACAAAGAAUGGUGUUGGAAUGCCACAGUCAUGGUGAGCAUAUGAAGCCAGGUCUAAGGACUUGGACCUUUCUUUUCUCUCUGCUGGCAGUGGGAAGUGUUGCCUGUGCCCAACUGCUUUCCCUAGGAGCAGGACUUGGCCGUGAGCAACAACAUUCCUCUGGUACCCUGGCCUCUGUGGCCACAUCCCAUCCCCGCCCUGGCCUCUGCUGUCCCUCUCAGUGGCCAACAGCCUGUAAAUAGGCAAUAGAGUGUGUGAUGAUGACAAUGCCUUGCACCAUUAAAGGCACUCGAGGAGCCUUUUCAGCAUUUUUAUAACUGAGAUAAGACAAAUGUAAAGCAUUAACCUCCACUCCAGAAGAAACCAUCUCAUUUUUCAUUUUAAUGAAACUUUAUUAAAAUUGUGCGCUUAAAAUUUAACUUGAGGGAGUUCCUGUUGUGGCUCGGCGUGUUACAAACCCAACUAGUAUCCAUGAGGAUGCAGGUUCGAUCCCUGGCCUCGCUCAGUGGGUGAAGGACCCGGCGUUGCCGUGAGCCGUGGUGUAGUUCGCAGACGCGGCUUGGAUUUGGUGUUGCUCUGGCUGUGGUGUAGGCUGGCAGCUGUAGCUCCGGUUGGACCCCUCGCCUGGGAACUUCCAUACGUCUCGGGUGCG
This 6469-nucleotide long non-coding RNA is filed under the name Sus scrofa (pig). RNAcentral's name for it is "lncRNA (ENSSSCG00000043602.1)". The record is from RNAcentral. Lineage: Eukaryota; Metazoa; Chordata; Mammalia; Artiodactyla; Suidae.